GGAGGGUGCGAGCGUUAAUCGGAAUUACUGGGCGUAAAGCGAGUGCAGGCGGCUGCGUAAGUCGGAUGUGAAAGCCCUGGGCUUAACCUGGGAAUGGCAUUCGAAACUGCGCAGCUAGAGUCUGGUAGAGGGAAGUGGAAUUCCAGGUGUAGCGGUGAAAUGCGUAGAUAUCUGGAGGAACAUCAGUGGCGAAGGCGGCUUCCUGGACCAAGACUGACGCUCAGGCUCGAAAGCGUGGGGGUAGCAAACAGGAUUAGAUACCCUGGUAGUCCACGCCCCUAAACGAUGUCAACUAGACGUUGGGUUCAUUAAAGAACUUAGUGUCGAAGCUAACGCGUUAAGUUGACCGCCUGGGAGUACGGCCGCAAGGUUG
This 373-nucleotide ribosomal RNA is filed under the name uncultured organism. RNAcentral's name for it is "partial 16S ribosomal RNA". It matches the Rfam family "Bacterial small subunit ribosomal RNA", at positions 527 to 896 of the family's 1533-position model. The record is from RNAcentral.